CCUAUUCGGGGUGACUUGGUUC
RNAcentral lists this microRNA (22 nucleotides) under Gadus morhua (Atlantic cod). RNAcentral describes it as "gmo-miR-26a-4-3p". Its record names the gene gmo-miR-26a-4-3p. Lineage: Eukaryota; Metazoa; Chordata; Actinopteri; Gadiformes; Gadidae. The record is from miRBase by way of RNAcentral.